This 403-nucleotide ribosomal RNA is filed under the name Actinomycetes bacterium. RNAcentral's name for it is "Actinobacteria bacterium partial 16S ribosomal RNA". It matches the Rfam family "Bacterial small subunit ribosomal RNA", at positions 355 to 775 of the family's 1533-position model. Lineage: Bacteria; Bacillati; Actinomycetota; Actinomycetes. The record is from RNAcentral.
UGGGGAAUAUUGGACAAUGGGCGCAAGCCUGACCCAGCCAUGCCGCGUGAGUGAUGAAGGCCCUAGGGUUGUAAAGCUCUUUCACCGGUGAAGAUAAUGACGGUAACCGGAGAAGAAGCCCCGGCUAACUUCGCGCCAGCAGCCGCGGUAAUACGAAGGGGGCGAGCGUUGUUCGGAUUUAAUGGGCGUAAAGCGCACGUAGGCGGACUUUUACGUCAGGGGUGAAAUCCCGGGGCUCAACCCCGGAACUGCCUUUGAUACUGGAAGUCUUGAGUAUGGUAGAGGUGAGUGGAAUUCCGGGUGUAGGGGUGAAAUUCGUCGAUAUUCGGAGAAACACCAGUGGCGAAGGCGGCUCACAGGACCAUUACUAUCGCAGAGGUGCGAAAGCGUGGGGAGCAAACAG